GAAAACUGUCUGAUGGAAUAUCCAGUCCACACUUGGGAACUGACUGCUUGAAGAACAUUCUCAUUUCCAGAUUGGAACAUGUCCUUCCAGAAUGAGAAUUCAUUCAGCCUCUCUGCCCAGUUCUGAUCUGUAAGCUUCCACCUCGAUUCCUCAGUUCCACGUAGCCCAGGUCCCACACCAGCUUUCCGGCCAUCAUACUCGCCCCUGGGGAAAAAUGAGAGAUAUCCAAAUGUGAGAAAGAACGGCAAUCACCACUAUCAACAGCUAACAUUGACGAGACUCCAGCUCUGUACCAGUAAAAAUGCUGGGUUUGAGCUAAAACUGUCACGGAAGUGGGCAGGAAAGUUGCAAAGAAAGGAUGAGAAUUAUUCACUUGGAAUCAGGCUCUCAGAAGAAUGGAAUAUUCGACUCGUCCCUCACUCC
Lagenorhynchus albirostris (white-beaked dolphin) is the source of this 423-nucleotide long non-coding RNA. RefSeq lists it as uncharacterized. NCBI's taxonomy places the organism in Eukaryota, Metazoa, Chordata, Mammalia, Artiodactyla, Delphinidae. The record is from RefSeq and is a predicted model, not a curated record. The transcript is spliced from 4 exons.